CAUCUAGUUCUGAAUAUGCUGAUGAAACAACUGCACAGAUGCAUUUAGUCUGUGUAAGGCCAAUAAAAAGGAGAUAGAUAGCAAUAGCAUGUUGUUAACUUAGCUUGUGGCGCUUAAUAGGCUUCUUAGUCAGAAACCUUAAGUACCUAAUGCAAUUUCACAUGUGAACCGGCCAUUAAAUCACAACAGAAAAGUCACUACUUAGUGACCUUGAUGGAGUCUGAUAAGCAACAAGAGCACGUCACUUAGGAUUUGACUAAAAGCUAGGCUCCUCACUAAGGUCCCAAGUUUGGGUUGAGUUUAUUGUAUUUCCUCAAGAAAGGCUCCUGGUCACAUCCACAACAAUUUUGUAAGUUGAUGGCAAGCACAAAGUAGGCAGCAUUUAAGAUCACCCGAAUCCCAGUAAGGGCCCGCACGAAAUUGUGCUCUCAAAGGAAAAUCCUUCUUUUUGGCUCAUGAUAACAAUAGUUUACAGCAUAGUUUAAUCCCCACGGUGACCUCACCCAUUUCACCGCUAAGAAAAAAAAAACAUGUGUACAAUAUUCAGCAACCAUAUCUCUUUGUUUUCUCCAUAAGUGCCUUCUGGGUCACCACAGGAUAAUAAAGAAUAGCUUGCCUUAAUAAUUGAGCAUGAUGUCUUCCUUCAGAACAAGUUUGAAAGCUAGUUAACAAACCCAACCGAUGUGGGCAAGGACUAUAAACUAUAUUAUAAUUACUCCCAGUGACAUAACCUACUGCAUAAAAACAAGCACUUGAGAUUGGGUGGAUUUCACUUAAAGUCAUGUGAAGUGAUUCCC
This 797-nucleotide long non-coding RNA is filed under the name Zea mays. Its description in RNAcentral is "long non-coding RNA NONZMAT001739". The record is from RNAcentral. Lineage: Eukaryota; Viridiplantae; Streptophyta; Magnoliopsida; Poales; Poaceae.